RNAcentral lists this unclassified non-coding RNA (345 nucleotides) under soil metagenome. Its description in RNAcentral is "partial contains 5.8S ribosomal RNA, internal transcribed spacer 2, and large subunit ribosomal RNA". The stretch from base 1 to 120 matches the Rfam family "5.8S ribosomal RNA", at positions 35 to 154 of the family's 154-position model. The record is from RNAcentral.
GAUGAAGAACGUAGCGAAAUGCGAUAAGUAAUGUGAAUUGCAGAGUUCAGUGAAUCAUCGAAUCUUUGAACGCACAUUGCGCCCGUCAGUAUUCUGACGGGCAUGCCUGUCCGAGCGUCAUUGCUGCCCUCAAGCACGGCUUGUGUGUUGGGCCUCCGUCCUCCUCCCGGGGGACGGGCCCGAAAGGCAGCGGCGGCACCGCGUCCGGUCCUCGAGCGUAUGGGGCUUCGUCACCCGCUCUUGUAGGCCCGGCCGGCGCUUGCCGACACAUCAAUCUUUUUUCCAGGUUGACCUCGGAUCAGGUAGGGAUACCCGCUGAACUUAAGCAUAUCAAUAAGCGGAGGA